AGUGAACGCUGGCGGCGUGCCUAAUACAUGCAAGUCGAACGGAGUGGCGCACGGGUGAGUAAUAUAUAGCUAAUCUGCCCCUUGCUGGAGGACAACAGUUAGAAAUGACUGCUAAUACUCCAUAGCAAGGGAUGAGACUAUAUAGUAUCAGCUCGUCGGUGGGGUAACGGCCUACCGAGGCUAUGAAGCGUAACUGGUCUGAGAGGAUGUUCAGUAAAAUGCGAACUGAGACACGGGUCAAACUCCUACGGGAGGCAGCAGUAGGGAAUAGUGCGCAAUGGGCGAAAACCUGACGCAGCAACGCGGUGUGGAGGAUGACACGUUGCGGAGCGGAAACUCCUUUUGUUAGGGAAGCGGUACCUAAAGAAUAAGCACCGGCUAACUCCGUGCCAGCAGCCGCGGUAAUAC
RNAcentral lists this ribosomal RNA (408 nucleotides) under uncultured bacterium. RNAcentral describes it as "partial 16S ribosomal RNA". It matches the Rfam family "Bacterial small subunit ribosomal RNA", at positions 29 to 526 of the family's 1533-position model. The record is from RNAcentral.